Molecule: ribosomal RNA, 481 nt
Filed under: Streptomyces sp. BAB-4368
Lineage: Bacteria; Bacillati; Actinomycetota; Actinomycetes; Kitasatosporales; Streptomycetaceae
Description: bacterial SSU rRNA
Rfam family: Bacterial small subunit ribosomal RNA
Source: RNAcentral
GGCGACCGGCACACUGGGACUGAGACACGGCCCAGACUCCUACGGGAGGCAGCAGUGGGGAAUAUUGCACAAUGGGCGAAAGCCUGAUGCAGCGACGCCGCGUGAGGGAUGACGGCCUUCGGGUUGUAAACCUCUUUCAGCAGGGAAGAAGCGAAAGUGACGGUACCUGCAGAAGAAGCGCCGGCUAACUACGUGCCAGCAGCCGCGGUAAUACGUAGGGGCGCAAGCGUUGGUCCGGAAUUAAUUGGGCGUAAAGAGCCUCGUAGGCCGGCUUGGUCGCGUCGGUUGUGAAAGCCCGGGGCUUAACCCCGGGUCUGCAGUCGAUACGGGCAGGCUAGAGUUCGGUAGGGGAAGAUCGGAAUUCCUGGGUGUAGGCGGGUGAAAUGCGCAGAUUAUCAGGGAGGAACAACCGGGUGGGCGAAGGCGGAUUUCUCUUGGGGCCGAUAUCCUGACGGCUGGGAGAGAGCGGAAAGCGGUGGGG